AAUGGCCUCGAAAUGGUUUUCAACUGUGUAGUUCGGGCCACUGACAAGAUACGUUGCCUCGUUAGCAUUAACAAGGCGUAACCUUACUGGAGCCAACAGGUGCUAGAACACACUAUCAAUAAAUAAAGAACAGGUGGUACAACACGACCAGCUAAACGUACUAGGCAACAAAAAUUCAUCCAGGUGUGCUUCUUAGGUGUGUAGCUCGGGCACAGAAACUCCGCAGGGCAUCCCUUCGCCCAUCGCAGCAAGUUAUCGAGCCCCCCCUAAACAUUACCACUAUUGCCAAACGCAAACCUUAAGACAAUAAUUAAUGCAGACCAUACAGGAUC
This 332-nucleotide long non-coding RNA is filed under the name Triticum aestivum (bread wheat). RNAcentral describes it as "long non-coding RNA (TAES_LNC021667)". Lineage: Eukaryota; Viridiplantae; Streptophyta; Magnoliopsida; Poales; Poaceae. The record is from RNAcentral.